GAAACGGCAAGUGGUUGUGAUCCGUUCAACGAAUGAGAACGGUGAUACCUCUUUUUUUCAAUCAUCUCAAUCGAUAGAGAACCUGACAUUUGCAGGCCUCUCUCGCAGGCUACCUCCCAUCUUACCCUAUCUCUCUCAGCUCCCUCCUCGCAGCAGACUCACGGGCCUCUCUCUCUACCAAACGCAAGCCCCUCACUCUCUCUCAGUUCUCUCCUCGUAGCAGAGUCGCAGGCGCCUCUCUCUCUACCAAACGCAAGCCCCUCUCUCUCUCUCAGCUCCCUCCUCGCAGCAGAUCUACUCUCUCUCUACGCAAAGGGCUUUCUCUCUGAGAAAUCUCUCUCUCUCUCUAAAAUCUGAGAUAAAAAGAAAAAUGGGCUUUCUCUCCUUGGAUGGGUUUCACCUAGAUUGGAAAAACUGAGAAAUCUGAAAAAUCCCUGAUAAAAGGAAAAAGGGAAAACUCCGUUAUCACAGGCUACCAUUAAGAGAAGAGUCUCUCUCUACACGAAGGGCUUUAUAACAGGGUAAUGUUAGUACCUGAGAUGGACCUCACCAUUUCAAAAAGUGUGGCAUCCCCCACAUGGCCAGAGGAUGACAACAUGGGGGAUACUGUAGAGCCCAUGGAGCAAGUUCCGUUGGUUGCAACUCCGCCCCACAAUAAGUUCACAAAUCCCAAAAACAGGGAACAUGCGUUGUCGUCCAAGGGGUCAGAAAUAGAGAAACCUCACAUAGGAAUAAAAUUCGGUACUGAAAAUGAUGUAUUUGAGUUUUACAAGGCUUUUGCAUUGGUGCAUGGGUUUGGUGUCAGAAAGGGAACUACUCAUAACAAUAAGGAUGGAAAGAGAACUGUUAGGGAUUUUAUAUGUUCCAAGGAAGGUUUCUGUAUGGCGAAAGAAGUGUUACCUACAAAAAAAUUCCCUUAGUCAAGGUGUGGAUGUGUAGCAAAGAUGUGCGUAAGCAUAAAUGCCAAUAAUGAGUGGGUUGUCACAAUGUUUGUUAAGGAUCACAAUCACGACUUUAUAUCUCCAAGAAAAGCCCGACUCAUUUGAUCGCACCGAACAAUAUCGGAUGCGACAAAGACAAUGAUAAACUCAAUGAGCUCCGCUGUAGUAAAGUCUCGGAAUAUCUAUGAUAUAUUUUUAGAGCAGUCUGGAGGGGUUGAUAAUAUCCCUUGCUUACAAAAAGACAUUGAAAACCAAUUAUCAUUGAAGAGAAGAAAAUUCAGAGGAGAAGAUGGGAACCGUACGAUGGAAUGGUUAAUCGAUAUAAAAAGAUCGAAUCCAUCUUUUUUCUAUAAGGUAAAAUUAGAUGAAGAAAAUCAUAUUGUCAGCCUAUUAUGGGUAGAUGCCAUGUCAAGGGUGUUCUGCAACUACUUCUCAGAUGUGUUCACUUUUGAUAUCACAUAUAAGAGAAACUCUUUUGGCAUGCCCUUUGCUCCCAUACUUGGAGUGAAUCACCACCUUAGCACAACAUUUUUUGGGUUUGCACUUAUAUUUGAUGAGAAUGUGGAGUCAUUUGUAUGGGUAUUUGAAAAUUGGCUAGAGGCAAUGGGUGGACGUCAAUCGGGAGUAAUUAUCACCAAUCAGGAUCCUGCAAUAACCACUACAAUGAGACAAGUUAUGAAUAAAAGCAGACAUCAUUAUUGUAAGUAGCACAUACUUUCAAAUGUCAAAGAAAAUUUGUGUCAUGUCUUGCGAAAGAGUCCAUCUUUUCUAGACCACUUCAGGAAUUGUAUAAUGAGUGAAACCAAUGAAGAAUUUGAGUCAGAACAAAAAUCUCUAAUUGAGAAAUAUAAUCUUCAAGAGAAUGAAUGGCUCAAUAGAUUGUACAGAUGUCAAAAGCAAUGGAUUGAUGCAUACGUGGCAGAUGCAUUCACAGCCGGUAUAUCAUCGACUCAAAGAAGCGAAGAAAUGAAUAAGCACUUCAAAAAUUACAUGAAUUCCAAUACAAGCUUGCGCACAUCGUUGGAAAACUACUCUAAAAGUGCAUGAUAAAAAACUUCUUAAGAUGAGAGAAAAUUACUUAAAGAACAUCACAUCUAUGCCUUUUUUUAGGACUACGUGUGACAUCGAGGCUCACACUUUGAAGUUAUAUACAUACAAAGUUAUGAAGUUGUUUGGGGAAGAAGUUACAGAAGGCAUCAAUUACAUGAGUAAAAUUAUUGAAGAGAAUGACACAGUUGCAAUCUUCAAGGUAUUAAAACGGGAAACUGGAACAAGGACCAACACUGUAGAGUUCAAUAGUCACGACCAAAAUUUUUAUUGUACUUGCCACAUGUAUGAGAGGCUAAGCAUUAUUUGUAGGCAUGGGAUUAGGUUGUUGAUGGUGAGAAAUAAUUUUGAAAUCCCUUCGCAUUACAUAAUGAAGAGGUGGACGAAAAAUGUGAUGCAAGGUGUUGUAGUUGAUGCCAACAGGAAACAAAUUGAAGGUACUUCUGAUCUACCCGGUUCCAUUCGUUUUAAUGAGGUUUGUCAAGCCACUAGAGUACUAGCAGAGUAUGCUUCAUAAAAGGUAAAACUUCAUGCAUUUAUAAUGUUAGAAAUAACAAGUACACUUGCAAAGGUUGAGGCCAAGAGUGGGGGUGUGGUAUUACCACCUGGUGCUAUUAAAACCCCUUGCAACACUCGUACUAAGAAUAUGAAUGCCAGCAAUAGCAACCGUGCUGAGGUUGAGGGACAUGCACAUCGUAACAUCCUUGAGUCCCCCCCCCGGACACGAACAACGGGGAGACCUACCAAUGAUAGAUAUGUAACUCGGGCUGAGAUAGAGGUAGACAAAGUGAAAGAGAAGGAAGUUACUCGAAAGUGCGCAAAGGGUGUGGACAUGACAGAAAGCAUUGUCUAGCUGUCACACACUUAAAGUAUGAAUGGACUAUUACUCCUUCUUUCGUACUUUUUGUGAUGGUAAUAUGAAUUCCUUAGUUAUAAAUAUUUGAAAUGGGUUUUAUUCAUUUAGGUUAAAUAUCAAUAUAAGAUGCACAGAUGGGUCAAGUGAGAAUGUGGAACACGAUGAGUAAUGGUAUGAAAUUUUAGUUUUGCAUUGUAAUCAGUAAACAAGUAUUUGUUGCAUUGAAUUUGCAUUGUAAGAAAUUUUAUUGCAUUCAAAUUUUCAUGCU
Amborella trichopoda is the source of this 3112-nucleotide long non-coding RNA. RefSeq lists it as uncharacterized. The record is from RefSeq and is a predicted model, not a curated record. Lineage: Eukaryota; Viridiplantae; Streptophyta; Magnoliopsida; Amborellales; Amborellaceae.